AUCCAGCUCACGAGUCCAAAAUAGAACGAAAUGCGCAUCAAACUGGAU
This 48-nucleotide non-coding RNA is filed under the name Schistosoma margrebowiei. The record is from RNAcentral. Lineage: Eukaryota; Metazoa; Platyhelminthes; Trematoda; Strigeidida; Schistosomatidae.